UGAUCGCGUCUAAGACAUAUAA
RNAcentral lists this microRNA (22 nucleotides) under Drosophila virilis. Its description in RNAcentral is "dvi-miR-9708d-5p". Lineage: Eukaryota; Metazoa; Arthropoda; Insecta; Diptera; Drosophilidae. The record is from miRBase by way of RNAcentral.